AUAUCUAUCAAAAUAAUGAUUGACAUGUUUGCUCCAUGAGCUUAUUGUGGCUUUAUUUGUAAAUGUCGAGACACACGCAAACACUAUAUGAAUGUAGCCGUCAUUCCCACUGUUAAAUUAUACACUACAUUCAUAUUAAUGCUGCGCAAAUUCACACGCAUGUGGUCUCUCUGUGUCUACCCAGUGUCGUGUAGUAGGCCGUGUCAGUGUGUCGAGAACAUAUAUGAAUGUUAUAAUGAAGCGGAGCGGGAAAAAGGCUUUGUCAGGAUUCUCGCACGGAGAAGUGCAAUUACACAUGCAACAUUGUAACAAAUUUAGUCCCAAAACAAACGAUCCAUAGGUGUGAAAACUCCUCCUAUUUUACUUCUCUGACUGAACUAGUAAGGAGCUGUUGGAGCCAAUGAGAAAGCUGGUAAGUUCAAGUAUAGUUUGGCACAUUCAGUUAGACCAUGUAACCUUUAUUAAUAGAUACCUAUAUACUAUUUUCUCUUUACAGGUAUAAAGUAAACCUGCUAUUUUAAUGAUUAUUUCUAAGUUUACUGAGCGAUGUAAACUGCUGUCAUCCACAUCACAUCAUCACUGAAGAAUCCUUUCAGUGUGACAGAUAUUCACAAGCGUCUGGAGCCAACUUAAAAUACUUAACUGGAUGCUUACUGAAGAGUGAGCUUCAACACUUCAGGUUUGUACAAAGUUACACCAUAUCACUGAAAAUGGCAUGCGUCAAGAUUUCAGAGACUCUGCGUGACAUUUUAAAUGUUUAUGAUCUUCAGGCUGUGCAUGAUGUCAACAUGAAACGCACCGUAGCCCUCCUUGCUCCACAGUACCUGUGUGAGGAGGACCCACAAUUCUUCAAGACUUGACAUGGGGUGUUGGGAGAGCCAGACAUCGCUGAUUCUGUCAUUGUGGUCAACGAAACGAAAGCACAAGUCCUUCAAGCUCUGCAGUUGUGAUAGAAGAUGAUCUUCAAUUUUAAAAUAAAAGACUAAUCUUCA
Long non-coding RNA from Megalobrama amblycephala (Wuchang bream), 992 nucleotides. RefSeq lists it as uncharacterized. The transcript has 5 exons. The record is from RefSeq and is a predicted model, not a curated record. Lineage: Eukaryota; Metazoa; Chordata; Actinopteri; Cypriniformes; Xenocyprididae.